UACGUAGGGGGCAAGCGUUGUCCGGAAUCAUUGGGCGUAAAGAGCGUGUAGGCGGCCCGAUAAGUCCGCUGUGAAAGUCCGGGGCUCAACCCUGGGAUGCCGGUGGAUACUGUCGGGCUCGAGUCCGGAAGAGGAGUGUGGAAUUCCUGGUGUAGCGGUGAAAUGCGCAGAUAUCAGGAGGAACACCGGUGGCGAAGGCGGGUCUCUGGGCCGUAACUGACGCUGAGGAGCGAAAGCGUGGGGAGCGAACAGG
This 253-nucleotide ribosomal RNA is filed under the name uncultured bacterium. RNAcentral's name for it is "partial 16S ribosomal RNA". It matches the Rfam family "Bacterial small subunit ribosomal RNA", at positions 524 to 776 of the family's 1533-position model. The record is from RNAcentral.